CGAUCCUCCUGCCUUGACUUCCCAGAGUGUUGGGAUUACAGGUGUGAGCCACUGCACCCAGCAGUAUAUAGCCUUUCUUUACUACUUUUUUUUUUAAAGACAGUGUCCUGCUCUGUCACCCACACUGGAGUGUAGUGGCAUGAUCACAGCUCACUGCAGCCUUGACUGGGCUCAGGUGAUUCUCCCACCUCAGUUUCCUGAGUAGCUGGGACUACAGGCACAUGACACCAUUCCUGGCUAAUGAUUUUUUUUUUUUUUUAAGAGAGAGGGUCUCACUACAUUGCCCAGGCCAGUCCAACUGGGUUCAAGUGAUCCUGUCAUCUCAUCCUCCCAAAGUGCUGGGAUUGCAGGUGUGAGUCACUGCACCUAGUCCUUUAACUUUUAAAAUUUUAUUUUAAAAUAAUUUCACAGAUAAAAGGUACAUUUUACUGAAAUUAUGUGUACAUUGUCUCCCCUGGUCUCCCUCUCUCUUCAAAAUUUAGAUAUUCCCCCAAGUCAGGGAGUGAACACUGCAUCCAGUCCAUGGACCCCAUGCAGAUCUCGCCAGCUGUCCCAACAGUGUCUUGUCCUUUCCUGGUCCAGGGUCCCUGUCAAGAGCAUCCCAAUCUGUCAUCCAGGCUGGAGUGCAGCAGUGUGAUCCUGGCUCACUGCAACCUUGCUCUCCUGGGCUUUCCUCCUACCUCAGCCUCCCGAAUAGCUGAGACUACAGGUGUGCACAUCCAUGCCCAGCUAAUUUUUUUUUGUACAGUCGAGGUCUUGCUAUGUUGCCCAGACUGCUAACUACUUUUAAGUGUACAGUUUAUUCAUAAUGUGUAGCCACCACAAUCCAACUCCAUAACUUUUCAUUUUGUAAAACUUAAACUGUUCCCAUGAAACACUAACUCCCCUCGCAUGCUCCUUCCAGCCCCUGGAAACCACCACUUGUUUAUGAUUUUCACUCUAGGAACCUCCUAUAAAUGGACAGUAUCUGCCCUUCUGUGGCUGGUUUAUCUUACAUAGCCUAAUGUCCUUAAGGUUUAUCCGUGUUGUAAUAUGUCAAUUUCCCUCCUUUGUUAAGGCUGAGUAAUAUUCCAUUGUGUGUAUAUAUUCCACAUUUUGCUUAUCAAUACAUUGUCAGUAGGCACUUGGGGUUGGACACGGUGACUGACACCUGUAAUCCCAGCACUUUGGGAGGCCGAGGCAGGUGGAUUCCCUGAGAUCAGGAGUUCAAGACCAGCCUGGUCAACAUAGUGAAACCCCAUAGCUACUAAAAAUAUGCAAAUUAGCUGGGCAUGGUGGCG
This 1280-nucleotide long non-coding RNA is filed under the name Homo sapiens (human). RNAcentral's name for it is "HSALNT0268333". Lineage: Eukaryota; Metazoa; Chordata; Mammalia; Primates; Hominidae. The record is from RNAcentral.